GUAACUCCCUUUGCAGGCCAAUCACCUUGUCAUACAGUAAAGUUAGGCUUCCCAUGAAUUCCGUCGAUGGAGUCCGCGGCUACAAAUAGAAAUAUUUUAUCAGUAGAGACGGAAUACAGGUAAUUAAUUUCGCGUAUCCUACUUUCCCCCAGACGUUCCCACCUUCCCCACUCUUAAAUUUCCAAUCCUUAGCUCUCCACUAACGAUACUCUAAUCCCCUUCACCAAUUACUCUAAUUCCCCGAAACGAGAACGGGGAGAGAGAGCUUAAAAGCAAGGCAACAUAUCCCCAAAGCCGCCAUAAAAGGUUGAGAACGGGGAAAGUAGGCCGCCGGAGUCCAACACCCCNNN
This 350-nucleotide long non-coding RNA is filed under the name Elaeis guineensis (African oil palm). RNAcentral's name for it is "long non-coding RNA (EGUI_LNC016296)". Lineage: Eukaryota; Viridiplantae; Streptophyta; Magnoliopsida; Arecales; Arecaceae. The record is from RNAcentral.